This 161-nucleotide ribosomal RNA is filed under the name uncultured bacterium. RNAcentral describes it as "16S ribosomal RNA". It matches the Rfam family "Bacterial small subunit ribosomal RNA", at positions 375 to 528 of the family's 1533-position model. The record is from RNAcentral.
GCGCAAGCCUGAUCCAGCCAUGCCGCGUGGGUGAAGAAGGCCUUCGGGUUGUAAAGCCCUUUUGUUGGGAAAGAAAGGCAGUCGAUUAAUACUCGGUUGUUCUGACGGUACCCAAAGAAUAAGCACCGGCUAACUUCGUGCCAGCAGCCGCGGUAAUACGA